This 76-nucleotide transfer RNA is filed under the name Azospirillum sp. RNAcentral's name for it is "tRNA-Ala". It matches the Rfam family "tRNA". Rfam says of the family: Transfer RNA (tRNA) molecules are approximately 80 nucleotides in length. RNAcentral also lists the same sequence under 6 other names. The record is from RNAcentral. Lineage: Bacteria; Pseudomonadati; Pseudomonadota; Alphaproteobacteria; Rhodospirillales; Azospirillaceae.
GGGGCUGUAGCUCAGUUGGGAGAGCGAUUGGUUCGCAAUCAAUAGGUCGAGGGUUCGAUCCCCUUCAGCUCCACCA